CCUACGGGAGGCAGCAGUGAGGAAUAUUGGUCAAUGGACGAGAGUCUGAACCAGCCAAGUAGCGUGAAGGAUGACUGCCCUAUGGGUUGUAAACUUCUUUUAUAUGGGAAUAAAACAGGGUAUGCAUACCCUCUUGUAUGUACCAUAUGAAUAAGGAUCGGCUAACUCCGUGCCAGCAGCCGCGGUAAUACGGAGGAUCCGAGCGUUAUCCGGAUUUAUUGGGUUUAAAGGGAGCGUAGGUGGAUUGUUAAGUCAGUUGUGAAAGUUUGCGGCUCAACCGAAAAAUUGCAGUUGAAACUGGCAGUGGUGAGUACAGUAGAGGUGGGCGGAAUUCGUGGUGUAGCGGUGAAAUGCUUAGAUAGCACGAAGAACUCCGAUUGCGAAGGCAGCUCACUGGACUGCAACUGACACUGAUGCUCGAAAGUGUGGGUAUCAAACAGGAUUAGAUACCCGAGUAGUC
Molecule: ribosomal RNA, 460 nt
Filed under: uncultured bacterium
Lineage: Bacteria
Description: partial 16S ribosomal RNA
Rfam family: Bacterial small subunit ribosomal RNA
Source: RNAcentral